Rhizophagus irregularis DAOM 197198w is the source of this 59-nucleotide transfer RNA. It matches the Rfam family "tRNA", at positions 8 to 63 of the family's 71-position model. From Rfam's summary of the family: Transfer RNA (tRNA) molecules are approximately 80 nucleotides in length. Their secondary structure includes four short double-helical elements and three loops (D, anti-codon, and T loops). The record is from Rfam. NCBI's taxonomy places the organism in Eukaryota, Fungi, Glomeromycota, Glomeromycetes, Glomerales, Glomeraceae.
UAGCUCAAUUGGUUAGAGUGUUGUGCUGAUAACGCAAAGGUUAUGGGUUCGGAUCCCAU